CAAAUGACUCUCGGCAACGGAUAUCUCGGCUCUCGCAUCGAUGAAGAACGUAGCGAAAUGCGAUACUUGGUGUGAAUUGCAGAAUCCCGUGAACCAUCGAGUCUUUGAACGCAAGUUGCGCCCGAAGCCACCAGGCCGAGGGCACGUCUGCCUGGGCGU
RNAcentral lists this ribosomal RNA (159 nucleotides) under Calceolaria pedunculata. RNAcentral describes it as "5.8S ribosomal RNA". It matches the Rfam family "5.8S ribosomal RNA". Rfam says of the family: 5.8S ribosomal RNA (5.8S rRNA) is a component of the large subunit of the eukaryotic ribosome. It is transcribed by RNA polymerase I as part of the 45S precursor that also contains 18S and 28S rRNA. The record is from RNAcentral. Lineage: Eukaryota; Viridiplantae; Streptophyta; Magnoliopsida; Lamiales; Calceolariaceae.